CCUACGGGAGGCAGCAGUGGGGAAUAUUGGACAAUGGGCGCAACCCUGAUCCAGCGACGCCGCGUGAGGGAAGAAGGCUUUCGGGUUGUAAAACUCUUUUCUGAGGGACGAUAGUGACGAUGCUACAGGAAUAAGACGCGGCGAAUUACGACGCAGCAGCAGCGGUAAUACGUAGGUGGCAAGCGUUAUCCGGAUUUACUGGGUGUAAAGGGCGUGGAGGCGGGAUCGUAAGUCAGAUGUGAAAACUAUGGGCUCAACCCAUAGCCUGCAGUUGAAAAUAUGGUUCUUGAGUGUUGGAGAGGCAGGCGGAAUUCCGGGUGUAGCGGUGAAAUGCGUAGAUAUACGGAGGAACACUAGUGGCGAAGGCGGCCUGCUGGACAAUAACUGACGCUGAGGCGCGAAAGCGUGGGGAGCAAACAGGAUUAGAUACCCGUGUAGUC
This 440-nucleotide ribosomal RNA is filed under the name uncultured bacterium. RNAcentral's name for it is "partial 16S ribosomal RNA". It matches the Rfam family "Bacterial small subunit ribosomal RNA", at positions 338 to 795 of the family's 1533-position model. The record is from RNAcentral.